GACGAACGCUGGCGGCGUGCUUAACACAUGCAAGUCGAACGGAAAGGCCCCUUUGGUGGUACUCGAGUGGUGAACGGGUGAGUAACACGUGAGUAACCUGCCCUUGACUUCGGGAUAACUUCAGGUAACUGGGGCUAAUACCGGAUAGGAAUCCUUGCUGCAUGGUGGGGGUUGGAAAGCUUCGGCGGUUUUGGAUGGACUCGCGGCUUAUCAGCUUGUUGGUGGGGUAGUGGCUUACCAAGGCUUUGACGGGUAGCCGGCCUGAGAGGGCGACCGGCCACCUGGGACCUAGGGUAGGCCCCAGUCGCCAACGGGGGGAACCGGGGGGAAGAAUGCAGAAGCGGCGGGAGGCGGGUGCCGCAACGCCUCGGGCCGGAAGACUGUCUUCGGGGUGGAAAACGAAUGUAGCAGGGGCGAAGCUUGUGGUGACGGUACCUACAGAAAAAGCCACGGCUAACUACGUG
RNAcentral lists this ribosomal RNA (464 nucleotides) under uncultured bacterium. RNAcentral describes it as "partial 16S ribosomal RNA". It matches the Rfam family "Bacterial small subunit ribosomal RNA", at positions 28 to 507 of the family's 1533-position model. The record is from RNAcentral.